RNAcentral lists this transfer RNA (76 nucleotides) under Acidobacteria bacterium Mor1. RNAcentral describes it as "tRNA-Lys". It matches the Rfam family "tRNA". From Rfam's summary of the family: Transfer RNA (tRNA) molecules are approximately 80 nucleotides in length. Their secondary structure includes four short double-helical elements and three loops (D, anti-codon, and T loops). The record is from RNAcentral. RNAcentral also lists the same sequence under 6 other names. Lineage: Bacteria; Pseudomonadati; Acidobacteriota.
GGGCCGCUAGCUCAACUGGCAGAGCAGCAGACUCUUAAUCUGCGGGUUCGGGGUUCGAUUCCCUGGCGGCUCACCA